RNAcentral lists this ribosomal RNA (254 nucleotides) under uncultured bacterium. Its description in RNAcentral is "partial 16S ribosomal RNA". It matches the Rfam family "Bacterial small subunit ribosomal RNA", at positions 524 to 776 of the family's 1533-position model. The record is from RNAcentral.
UACGGAGGGUGCGAGCGUUGUCCGGAAUCAUUGGGCGUAAAGGGCGCGUAGGCGGCCCGUUUUGUCAGGCGUGAAAGCCCUGGGCUCAACCUGGGAAUGGCGCUUGGGACGGAUGGGCUAGAGAUCGGGAGAGGAGAGUGGAAUUCCCAGUGUAGAGGUGAAAUUCGUAGAUAUCGAGAGGAACACCGGUGGCGAAGGCGGCCAACUGGACGAAUACUGACGCUGGAGACACGAAAGCGUGGGGAGCAAACAGG